ACGCCCGACAUGGUACGCCACCUAGAGGAUGGCUUGGCUCAGGCGCCGAAGAAGGGCGUGGCAAGCUGCGAUAAGCCUCGGGUAGGAGCAAGCAUCCUUCGAUCCGAGGAUCCCCUAAUGGGAUACCUUCCUCCGGCGCGCGCAAGCGCGCUGUAGGAACACCCGAAAGGGUGGGGAAACCCGCCGAAAGGAAACAUCUGAGUAGGCGGAGGAAGAGAAAUCAAACGAGAUUCCCCUAGUAACGGCGAGUGAAAAGGGAAGAGCCCAAACCGAACCGCGGGCCGAAAGGCUCGUGGGAUGUGGGGUUGAGGACCGGGCCACCUCUCUGCCUGCGAAGCCGAAGAGGCCUGGAAAGGCCCACGAAAAUGGGUGAUAGUCCCGUAGGCGUAAGCCGGCGUGAGCUGGGCCCGAGUUCCAGAGUACCGCGCCUCGGAUAUGGCGCAGGAAGCUGGGAGGUAUUCACUUCCAAGGCUAAAUACGUCCUGAGACCGAUAGCGCACCAGUACGGUGACGGAAAGCUGAAAAGAACCCCGAGAGGGGUGUGAAAAGAGCCUGAAACUAGGUGGUUACAGACGUUCACGGCCUGAAAGGGUUUGAAUCCCCCAAAAGUUGCCGGUCGAGAGGCCGGAGGCGAUGGGGGGCUACCAGGGUCGUGAGGUUCGUCUUGAAACACGAGCCGGGGAGUUUAUGGUCGUGGCAAGCCUAAGGGGGCCUAUCCCCGUAAGCGCAGGGAAGCCGACUUGCCCGCAACCGCCUUCGCGCGGCGAGGGGCGGGGUAGCGAUUGCCCGGAGUCACGAUCAUAAGACUAGAAACCGAACGAUCUAAUCCUGGGCAGGGCGAAGCCGGGCGAAAGCCCGGUGGAGGCCCGAAAGGGUCUUGACGUGCAAUUCAGUCCUCUGACCUGGGAUUAGGGGACAAAAACCAAUCUAGUUCGGUGAUAGCUAGUUCCUUCCGAAAUGGAUCUCAGUCCAGCCCGCCCGGAGGAGGUUGGCAGGGUAGAGCACUGAUCGACAGGCAAGGCCUCGAAAGAGUCCACCUGUCUUUCAAACUCCGAAUCUGCCAACACCGUAGAUGGGCGGAGACGGGUUCCGGGGGGUAAGCUCCUGGACCGAGAGGGGAACAACCCAGACUAGGGUUAAGGUCCCUAAAUGCUGGCUAAGUGUCACACCGAAAGGCGUCUGGGCUCUUAGACAGCGGGAAGGUAGGCUUAGAAGCAGCCAUCCUUUAAAGAGUGCGUAACAGCUCACCCGCCGAGAGUCCAGGCCCUGAAAAUGGACGGGGCUCAAGCCAGCUGCCGAUACCCUGGAGCGCAGCCUCAGGCUGCGUCUGGUAGGAAGGCGUCCGAGUUGGGCCGAAGCCGGGCCGUGAGGUCCGGUGGACCGACUUGGAUUGCAGAUCCCGGUGGUAGUAACAGCUAAGACAGGUGAGAAUCCUGUCCGCCUGAAGGACAAGGGUUCCCCGGCAACGCGUCGUCAACCGGGGGUUAGUCGAUCCUAAGGCCUCGUUUAACAUGCGAGGUCGAACAAGGGAAGCCGGUUUAUAUUCCGGCACCAGGGGGGUACGCGCGGUAACGCAAGCCCUCGCGCCGACGCUUCGGGGAAGGUUGAGCGGGGCUGUCGCCCCGUCUAACUGUCCAAACCUGGGGAGUACCGUAAAGGUGAGAACCAGGCGAAGGCAGGAAUGGCUUGCCGUUAGGCGAGUUCAGCCGGGCCCUGGAGCCAUGGAAAAGGUGCGGGGGACGGAUCCCUCCUGAUCGUACCAAGAUCCGACACUGGUGUUCCUGCGUGAGAAGCGCAAGGCGUCUCGGGGUAUUCCACGGCGAGGGAACUUGGCAAUCUAGCCCCGUAACUUUGGGAUAAGGGGUGCCUGAGACUGGGCUUCGGCUUGGCCUCAGGUCGCAGUAACUAGGGGGUCCCGACUGUUUACUAAUCGGGCAAAGGCGCCGGCCAAAUGGAGAUGGAAAAAGGAAAUCCCCGGGGACGGAAGCCUCGAGAAAACCUGUGCCUGCUGCGUUCCAACAGACCGGACGAAUUCGAAGCGCGUAUCGAAACGGCAAAGGCAAAGCUCAUGCGAGAACGAAAAUGAACCGGUGAUAAUGAAGUUCUUCGGCCCAGAGGUUCGUUGCGGAUUUGUUUGGUGCAGGGGCACGCUGAAGAUGGUGUCGUUGCAAGAGUUCGCGUUCCGUUGUAGUAUUCUUGGAACCUUGCGCGGAGGGCUNNNNNNNNNNNNNNNNNNNNNNNNNNNNNNNNNNNNNNNNNNNNNNNNNNNNNNNNNAAAGGCGCGCUUGCCCGGGUAACAAACACAGGGAGCCGCUAGUCCGAAAGGAUGUGCACGGCUCUUGAAUCCUGGCCAGUAGCGGUAUCUGAAUCUCAGGUUCAACUGAGCCAAGGACCGCUAAACGCCCGAGGUAACUCUGACCUUGUUAAGGUAGCCAAAUGCCUUGUCGGGUAAGUUCCGACGUGCUUGAAUGGAGCAACGAGGGCCCCGCUGUCCCCGCCUGGAUCCCGGUGAACCCACAUAACGUGGCUGCACAGUCCACGACCUCCCAACGGGACA
RNAcentral lists this ribosomal RNA (2557 nucleotides) under Candidatus Brockarchaeota archaeon. RNAcentral describes it as "partial 23S ribosomal RNA". It matches the Rfam family "Archaeal large subunit ribosomal RNA", at positions 1 to 2159 of the family's 2987-position model. Lineage: Archaea; Thermoproteati; Candidatus Brockarchaeota. The record is from RNAcentral.